Molecule: ribosomal RNA, 653 nt
Filed under: uncultured bacterium
Lineage: Bacteria
Description: bacterial SSU rRNA
Rfam family: Bacterial small subunit ribosomal RNA
Source: RNAcentral
AAUUCGCCCUUAGAGUUUGAUCCUGGCUCAGGACGAACGCUGGCGGCGUGCUUAACACAUGCAAGUCGAACGGAGCACCCCUGAAGGAGUUUUCGGACAACGGAUGGGAAUGCUUAGUGGCGGACUGGUGAGUAACGCGUGAGGAACCUGCCUUCCAGAGGGGGACAACAGUUGGAAACGACUGCUAAUACCGCAUGAUGCGUUGGAGCCGCAUGACUCCGACGUCAAAGAUUUAUCGCUGGAAGAUGGCCUCGCGUCUGAUUAGCUAGUUGGUGAGGUAACGGCCCACCAAGGCGACGAUCAGUAGCCGGACUGAGAGGUUGGCCGGCCACAUUGGGACUGAGAUACGGCCCAGACUCCUACGGGAGGCAGCAGUGGGGAAUAUUGGGCAAUGGACGCAAGUCUGACCCAGCAACGCCGCGUGAAGGAAGAAGGCUUUCGGGUUGUAAACUUCUUUUAAGGGGGAAGAGCAGAAGACGGUACCCCUUGAAUAAGCCACGGCUAACUACGUGCCAGCAGCCGCGGUAAUACGUAGGUGGCAAGCGUUGUUCGGAUUUACUGGGUGUAAAGGGCGUGCAGCCGGAGAGACAAGUCAGAUGUGAAAUCCACGGGCUCAACCCGUGAACUGCAUUUGAAACUGUUUCCCUUGAGUG